This 253-nucleotide ribosomal RNA is filed under the name uncultured bacterium. RNAcentral's name for it is "partial 16S ribosomal RNA". It matches the Rfam family "Bacterial small subunit ribosomal RNA", at positions 524 to 776 of the family's 1533-position model. The record is from RNAcentral.
UACGAAGGGGGCUAGCGUUGUUCGGAAUCACUGGGCGUAAAGGGCGCGUAGGCGGCCUGAUAAGUCGGGGGUGAAAGCCUGUGGCUCAACCACAGAAUUGCCUUCGAUACUGUUAGGCUUGAGACCGGAAGAGGUAAGUGGAACUGCGAGUGUAGAGGUGAAAUUCGUAGAUAUUCGCAAGAACACCAGUGGCGAAGGCGGCUCACUGGCCCGAUACUGACGCUGAGGCACGAAAGCGUGGGGAGCAAACAGG